UGAAAGAAGCUUUCAUGGAAGCUGCAGAUGUGCUCUUUGCCGAUUUUAAAAAUCAGAAGGAGAUCGUGUCUGCAGGAUGUGCAGCUCUCAAAGUCUGUUGCACGACGAUGCGAGUUAAUGGCGGAGGAUAUUGAUCGGCAACUGAGGAAUGAUAUUGAGAUUGUACGCAGCAACGACUUGACAGACUGGAGUCAAAGGUGGACCACAUACUACAACUACUGGUGAGGAAUCAGGCUGCUGAAGAAGCUGACUGCAUUGGAGAUAAUGCCAGCCAGACUUAAAACAACGGAGGAGCUGGACCAAUUCAGCAAAAUGCUGGAGGACCAGGAGUUUAGGAGGACAGUGGUGAAUCUGCUGAAACAGCUAUCUGGAUCAAUGCUGAACUCCUUUGCCAGGACGAUGCUCGGUGAAAUUGGGAUGUGGCGGUUGUGGGCUGGCGUCAGCCUCAAAGGAUGGAAAGGGAAGAAAGCCCUGCAGCCUCUCACUCUCUAGAGUUUUGAAGAGCAAAGAAGGAGGAUGAAAGAAUUGGUACUGGUGUUAAUGCUGACUCAGAUGCUGGGGUGGAUGAAGCCAUGGGCGACGAUGUGGAUGCCGAUGCCAUGGACCAUUGUGUAGUGAAUGAUGACACCAUGGAUGGCAGUGCCAUGAGUGAUGAUGCCACAAUUAGUCAUGGGUCAGAUGAGAAGUGAUUCAUUUUAUGCUGAGAACUUAUGCCUCCCCCUCUGUAAGGUGCGGGGGAGACAUGAAAUAAGUGCCCAAUUUUCCUUGCACAACUUUUUUCCUGGAUGCCAUGAUCAUCAACUCGACUGGACUGACGCUAUGUUUGUUUUGAUCCACCUUUGUGAUUCACCC
Molecule: long non-coding RNA, 852 nt
Organism: Thalassophryne amazonica
Lineage: Eukaryota; Metazoa; Chordata; Actinopteri; Batrachoidiformes; Batrachoididae
Exons: 4
Source: RefSeq, a predicted model, not a curated record